RNAcentral lists this ribosomal RNA (400 nucleotides) under uncultured bacterium. Its description in RNAcentral is "bacterial SSU rRNA". It matches the Rfam family "Bacterial small subunit ribosomal RNA", at positions 355 to 769 of the family's 1533-position model. The record is from RNAcentral.
UGGGGAAUAUUGGGCAAUGGGCGAAAGCCUGACCCAGCGACGCCGCGUGAGGGAAGAAGGUCUUCGGAUUGUAAACCUCUUUCAGCAGGGAAGAAGAAAGUGACGGUACCUGCAGAAGAAGUCACGGCUAACUACGUGCCAGCAGCCGCGGUAAUACGUAGGUGGCGAGCGUUAUCCGGAAUUACUGGGUGUAAAGGGUGUGUAGGCGGGAAUGCAAGUCAGACGUGAAAUCUACGGGCUCAACCUGUAAAUUGCGUUUGAAACUGUAUUUCUUGAGUAUGGGAGAGGUAAACGGAAUUCCUGGUGUAGUAGUGAAAUGCGUAGAUAUCAGGAGGAACACCGGUGGCGAAGGCGGUUUACUGGACCAUAACUGACGCUGAGACACGAAAGCGUGGGGAGC